This is a non-coding RNA of Malus domestica (apple), 867 nucleotides long. NCBI's taxonomy places the organism in Eukaryota, Viridiplantae, Streptophyta, Magnoliopsida, Rosales, Rosaceae. The record is from RefSeq and is a predicted model, not a curated record.
AUAUACAAAAGUUGUCUCCCCUUUUAAUUUCCUUCCCAUUUUUGGUUAGAAAGGCACCGAAAAUAUUUUUUUAUUAAAAGUAGUAACCUUGAUUUUUCAUUUUAGUUGGACAUUGAAUGAUGAUAUAAUCGACGUAAUUUAGAGGCCGGGCCUUGUUCGUAAAGCCCAUAUCCAAAUUUCCCCGCCCUUGUUGGCCAGGGGAGGGGAGAGAAGAGUUCCAGAAAAGGGAAGUAAGGUUUUCGACUGACAUUGAAUGGUAAUGCUGGAUUUUGAGCUCCUCCGGAUGAUGAAGAAGAUGAAUCUUUCCUAGCCUCAAGCUUUGAGGUAUUACAUGCUGCGGCAGGACAGCCAAUCACCAAUCAAUAUCUACAACCUCAAGCUCCAGCCAUUGAUCUGUUGCAGUAGCAUCUUCGUCCCAGACAGAUUCUCACGCUGUACCAUCACAUAUCAUCAAGACAAGUGCUUGGCGUUUCUUUUAUUUGUUUUAACUAACUAAUUAGUUGAUGGUUAUUUAAUUUACCUAGUCUCCUACAGACAAGCAACAAGGAACACCCUUGCUAAGAGUAAGAGGCUAAGAGCCUAGAGGAGCAGGAAAGAUGCUUGAGAAACGAAUUCUAUUUUUUCUCCCAGAUCAACCUAUAAAAAGACUACUCCAGCUCAUCGCUAUGCCUCUCCUCAUCGCUGGGCUCCUGUUUGUCACAUUGUUCCUCCCCAUCACUCUGCUCCUCCUCAUCGGAAUAUUGCUCCUCCUCCUGCUGGCUAGAAUAGAUAUCCUGGAUUUGUAUUCGAGUGUAAUACACCAAUUAAGAGGGAGUAGUGCGCCACAAAUUGUAAUGUUGAAUUGCAUGAGAUGAGCAAAUUGUAAUC